UACCCGGUGGUGUAAUUGGCAACACCUCAGCUUUUGGUGCUGAAAUUUCUGGUUCGAGUCCAGACCGGGUAG
RNAcentral lists this transfer RNA (72 nucleotides) under Sedimentisphaera cyanobacteriorum. RNAcentral describes it as "tRNA-Gln". It matches the Rfam family "tRNA". Rfam says of the family: Transfer RNA (tRNA) molecules are approximately 80 nucleotides in length. Their secondary structure includes four short double-helical elements and three loops (D, anti-codon, and T loops). Further hydrogen bonds mediate the characteristic L-shaped molecular structure. tRNAs have two regions of fundamental functional importance: the anti-codon, which is responsible for specific mRNA codon recognition, and the 3' end, to which the tRNAs corresponding amino acid is attached (by aminoacyl-tRNA synthetases). tRNAs cope with the degeneracy of the genetic code in two manners: having more than one tRNA (with a specific anti-codon) for a particular amino acid; and 'wobble' base-pairing, i.e. permitting non-standard base-pairing at the 3rd anti-codon position. Lineage: Bacteria; Pseudomonadati; Planctomycetota; Phycisphaerae; Sedimentisphaerales; Sedimentisphaeraceae. RNAcentral also lists the same sequence under 1 other name. The record is from RNAcentral.